GACGAACGCUGGCGGCGUGCUUAACACAUGCAAGUCGAACGGAAAGGCCCCUUUGGGGGUACUCGAGUGGCGAACGGGUGAGUAACACGUGAGUAACCUGCCCUUGACUUCGGGAUAACUUCAGGAAACUGGGGCUAAUACCGGAUAGGAAUCCUUGCUGCAUGGUGGGGGUUGUAAAGCUUCGGCGGUUUUGGAUGGACUCGCGGCGUAUCAGCUUGUUGGUGGGGUAGUGGCUUACCAAGGCUUUGACGGGUAGCCGGCCUGAGAGGGCGACCGGCCACAUUGGGACUGAGAUACGGCCCAGACUCCUACGGGAGGAAGCAGUGGGGAAUAUUGCACAAUGGGCGGAAGCCUGAUGCAGCAACGCCGCGUGCGGGAUGACGGCCUUCGGGUUGUAAACCGCUUUCAGCAGGGGCGAAGCUUGUGGUGACGGUACCUGCAGAAGAAGCACCGGCUAACUACGUG
RNAcentral lists this ribosomal RNA (465 nucleotides) under uncultured bacterium. Its description in RNAcentral is "partial 16S ribosomal RNA". It matches the Rfam family "Bacterial small subunit ribosomal RNA", at positions 28 to 507 of the family's 1533-position model. The record is from RNAcentral.